ACGGAGGGUGCAAGCGUUAUCCGGAUUCACUGGGUUUAAAGGGUGCGUAGGUGGGUUGGUAAGUCAGUGGUGAAAUCUCCGAGCUUAACUUGGGAACUGCCAUUGAUACUAUCAGUCUUGAAUAUUGUGGAGGUAAGCGGAAUAUGUCAUGUAGCGGUGAAAUGCUUAGAUAUGACAUAGAACACCAAUUGCGAAGGCAGCUUACUACACAAUGAUUGACGCUGAGGCACGAAAGCGUGGGGAUCAAACAGGA
RNAcentral lists this ribosomal RNA (253 nucleotides) under uncultured prokaryote. RNAcentral's name for it is "partial 16S ribosomal RNA". It matches the Rfam family "Bacterial small subunit ribosomal RNA", at positions 525 to 777 of the family's 1533-position model. The record is from RNAcentral.